This 300-nucleotide signal recognition particle RNA is filed under the name Callithrix jacchus (white-tufted-ear marmoset). RNAcentral's name for it is "Metazoan signal recognition particle RNA (ENSCJAG00000074609.1)". It matches the Rfam family "Metazoan signal recognition particle RNA". Rfam says of the family: The signal recognition particle (SRP) is a universally conserved ribonucleoprotein. It is involved in the co-translational targeting of proteins to membranes. The record is from Rfam by way of RNAcentral. Lineage: Eukaryota; Metazoa; Chordata; Mammalia; Primates; Cebidae.
UCCAGGCGCGGUAGCACGUGCCUGUAGUCCCAGCUACCCAGGAGGCUGAGGCUAGAGGAUCACUUGAGUCCAGGAGUUCUGGGCUGUGGUGCCCUAUGCUGAUCAGGUGUCUGUACUAAGUUCGGCAUCAAUAUGGUGACCUCCCAGGAGCGGGGGACCACCAGGUUGCCUAAGGAGGGGUGAACCGGCCCAGGCUGGAAACGGAGCAGGUCAAAACUCCCGUGCUGAUCAGUAGUGGAAUCGCGCCUGUGAAUAGCCACUGCACUUCAGCCUGGGCAACAUAGUAAGACCCUGUCUCUU